GACAGGCUGGGGCCGGGGUCGGGUCGGGGUCUGGGGCGGGGCGGCAGACAGAUCCCUUCCCCCGGGUCCCGCGUCUCCGCAGGGCGGUCCCCGGGCUCCUUCACCGCAGAGUCCUUUCCCUCUUGACCCAGCACUCACCCGCCCAGGUCUGGGUCACGGCCAGGGCUCCCGACAGCAGCAGGAGGAGAGUUUGGGGCAUCAUGACCCGCAUCCUUGGGAUCUCGGGACACUGUGAGUCGCAGGGGGCGGGGGCGGAAACUUUAUAUCCCAAACUGCGGCGCCGCUGAUUGGCUUCUCCGGAAACCGACAGCAAUAGGAGUGUGAACGGAGGCUGGGUCAUCAGUAUCCAGGCAGAAGGACUUGACACAGGUUGUGACAGGGAGAAGUGAAACCAGGGAGGAUGGGGACUCCCCAACAUUGGGCUUCCCCGCCCCAGACACCGCCCUGGGGCCUGAGACCCUGAGAGGUUGACGGGGGACCUGGGACUUUGCCCGAAGCCUCACCUACUACACAGAGCGCUCUCCGUCACACUGUGUCCCUGAGUCGUGGCCCAGGAGCUGUGAACCCGCGACAAUAGACUGCCCCACCAGCCGGGAUGGACCAGACAAGGACAAGUAUGGAACAGACAAGUGGCACCCAAACAUGUGGCCUGAAUAUGAGGGACCCGGUGAAGAACACCGAUCGGUAAAGCAGCCAACUACGCGGACUUCCACGUGGUCCAUGGCUGGGGUGUAAAGUAGCCGACUACAUGGACUUCUGCGUGGUCCAUGGCUCGGGUGAAAAAGGAGUCGACCACGUGGGAGCCUGCCAUGUGGCCCAUGGCUCGGGUACCAUGUUUGGGAAAGGGUGACACCUUCUCUGGAUGAUUGGAGAAAUAAGAUUAAGAAGCUUCAGGAAGACCUGGAGAAGAGGAGGAAGGAGCUCAGUGCCAGUCCUUUCCUCAGUGGAUUUCAUGGACUUCUACCCUACCUCCUCCCACUUUUAGGACCUAUUUCGGGUUUAUUGAUCUUGGUGUCCUUGGGCCCUGUUCUAUUCAUUAAAGUCAUGGCUUUCCUA
Molecule: long non-coding RNA, 1056 nt
Organism: Suricata suricatta (meerkat)
Lineage: Eukaryota; Metazoa; Chordata; Mammalia; Carnivora; Herpestidae
Exons: 3
Source: RefSeq, a predicted model, not a curated record